AGGUUUGCUGGUUCAGCUGCUGCAGCCUGGACAGAAACACCAGCUUUCACCUUACAGACCAAACAGGUGUCACCCUUUUGUUCACAACAUCAUCCACAAUUGCAGAGAUGUUGUCCAUGACUGGAUGAGGGAGACAUUGCCCACGAUCAGGACAUUGUCCAUGACUCACAGAGACGUGUAAAAGUUGGUAGUGGCAGAGUUUCUUGAUUUGACAGCAUUGUCCGAGAUCAGAGAGAUAUUGUUGACGAUCACGCAGACAUUGUCCAUAAUCUCAGAGACAUUGUCUGCGAUCAGAGAGACAGUCCACGAUCUCAGAGCAGAGACAUUGUCCACAAUCGCAGAGACAUCGUCCAUGGUUGGAGAGGCAUUGUUGACAAUGAGGGAGAGAUUGUCCACAAUCAGAGACAUUGUCCAUUGUCUGCGGUCACAGAGAUGUAGUCCACAAUCGCAGAGACAUCAUCCACGAUGGCAGAGUCUUCGUACAAUGAGGAAGUUCUUUGAGACCAGGUGUCACCACUUCGUCCAUGACAUCGUCCACGAUCACAGAGACAUGGUCCAUGAUCGGAGAGACAUUGUUGAGGAUGAGGGAGACAUCGUCCAUGAUCAGAGAUAUUGUCCAUGAUCGCAGAGACCUUGUCAAAGAUGAGAGAGACGUUGUCCUUGAUCAGAGACAUUGUCCCAUGCUUCGUAGAGACCUUGCGAUAGAAUCGGCGGAGACGGGGGUCACCGAUUUGAAGGCAUUGCCCGCGAUCACGGAGACAUUGCUGAUGAUCACAGAGACACCGUCUAUGAUCUCAGAGACAUCGUCCACGGUCACAAAGACAUUGUCCAUGAUCACAGAGACUUUGUCAAUAAUCUCAGAGACAUUGUCCGCGAUCACAGAGACGUGGUCCAUGAUCACAGAGAGUCUUCGUACGAUGAAGAAGUUCUUUGAGACCAUACCAAUUUCAGUCACAAGGUGUCACCACUUCGUCCAUGACAUCGUCCACGAUCACAGAGACAUGGUCCAUGAUCGGAGAGACAUUGUUGAGGAUGAGGGAGACAUCGUCCAUGAUCAGAGAUAUUGUCCAUGAUCGCAGAGACCUUGUCAAAGAUGAGAGAGACGUUGUCCUUGAUCAGAGACAUUGUCCCAUGCUUCGUAGAGACCUUGCGAUAGAAUCGGCGGAGACGGGGGUCACCGAUUUGAAGGCAUUGCCCGCGAUCACGGAGACAUUGCUGAUGAUCACAGAGACACCGUCUAUGAUCUCAGAGACAUCGUCCACGGUCACAAAGACAUUGUCCAUGAUCACAGAGACUUUGUCAAUAAUCUCAGAGACAUUGUCCGCGAUCACAGAGACGUGGUCCAUGAUCACAGAGAGUCUUCGUACGAUGAAGAAGUUCUUUGAGACCAUACCAAUUUCAGUCACAAGGUGUCACCACUUCGUCCAUGACAUCGUCCACGAUCGCAGAGACAUGGUCCAUGAUCGGAGAGACAUUGUUGAGGAUGAGGGAGACAUCGUCCAUGAUCAGAGAUAUUGUCCAUGAUCGCAGAGACCUUGUCAAAGAUGAGAGAGACGUUGUCCUUGAUCAGAGACAUUGUCCCAUGCUUCGUAGAGACCUUGCGAUAGAAUCGGCGGAGACGGGGGUCACCGAUUUGAAGGCAUUGCCCGCGAUCACGGAGACAUUGCUGAUGAUCACAGAGACACCGUCUAUGAUCUCAGAGACAUCGUCCACGGUCACAAAGACAUUGUCCAUGAUCACAGAGACUUUGUCAAUAAUCUCAGAGACAUUGUCCGCGAUCACAGAGACGUGGUCCAUGAUCACAGAGAGUCUUCGUAUGAUGAAGAAGUUCUUUGAGACCAUACCAAUUUCAGUCACAAGGUGUCACUACUUCGUCCAUGACAUCGUCCACGAUCGCAGAGACAUGGUCCAUGAUCGGAGAGACAUUGUUGAGGAUGAGGGAGACAUCGUCCAUGAUCAGAGAUAUUGUCCAUGAUCGCAGAGACCUUGUCAAAGAUGAGAGAGACGUUGUCCUUGAUCAGAGACAUUGUCCCAUGCUUCGUAGAGACCUUGCGAUAGAAUCGGCGGAGACGGGGGUCACCGAUUUGAAGGCAUUGCCCGCGAUCACGGAGACAUUGCUGAUGAUCACAGAGACACCGUCUAUGAUCUCAGAGACAUCGUCCACGGUCACAAAGACAUUGUCCAUGAUCACAGAGACUUUGUCAAUAAUCUCAGAGACAUUGUCCGCGAUCACAGAGACGUGGUCCACAAUCACAGAGAGUCUUCGUACGAUGAAGAAGUUCUUUGAGACCAUACCAAUUUCAGUCACAAGGUGUCACCACUUCGUCCAUGACAUCGUCCACGAUCGCAGAGACAUGGUCCAUGAUCGGAGAGACAUUGUUGAGGAUGAGGGAGACAUCGUCCAUGAUCAGAGAUAUUGUCCAUGAUCGCAGAGACCUUGUUAAAGAUGAGAGAGACGUUGUCCUUGAUCAGAGACAUUGUCCCAUGCUUCGUAGAGACCUUGCGAUAGAAUCGGCGGAGACGGGGGUCACCGAUUUGAAGGCAUUGCCCGCGAUCACGGAGACAUUGCUGAUGAUCACAGAGACACCGUCUAUGAUCUCAGAGACAUCGUCCACGGUCACAAAGACAUUGUCCAUGAUCACAGAGACUUUGUCAAUAAUCUCAGAGACAUUGUCCGCGAUCACAGAGACGUGGUCCAUGAUCACAGAGAGUCUUCGUAAGAUGAAGAAGUUCUUUGAGACCAUACCAAUUUCAGUCACAAGGUGUCACUACUUCGUCCAUGACAUCGUCCACGAUCGCAGAGACAUGGUCCAUGAUCGGAGAGACAUUGUUGAGGAUGAGGGAGACAUCGUCCAUGAUCAGAGAUAUUGUCCAUGAUCGCAGAGACCUUGUCAAAGAUGAGAGAGACGUUGUCCUUGAUCAGAGACAUUGUCCCAUGCUUCGUAGAGACCUUGCGAUAGAAUCGGCGGAGACGGGGGUCACCGAUUUGAAGGCAUUGCCCGCGAUCACGGAGACAUUGCUGAUGAUCACAGAGACACCGUCUAUGAUCUCAGAGACAUCGUCCACGGUCACAAAGACAUUGUCCAUGAUCACAGAGACUUUGUCAAUAAUCUCAGAGACAUUGUCCGCGAUCACAGAGACGUGGUCCACAAUCACAGAGAGUCUUCGUACGAUGAAGAAGUUCUUUGAGACCAUACCAAUUUCAGUCACAAGGUGUCACCACUUCGUCCAUGACAUCGUCCACGAUCGCAGAGACAUGGUCCAUGAUCGGAGAGACAUUGUUGAGGAUGAGGGAGACAUCGUCCAUGAUCAGAGAUAUUGUCCAUGAUCGCAGAGACCUUGUUAAAGAUGAGAGAGACGUUGUCCUUGAUCAGAGACAUUGUCCCAUGCUUCGUAGAGACCUUGCGAUAGAAUCGGCGGAGACGGGGGUCACCGAUUUGAAGGCAUUGCCCGCGAUCACGGAGACAUUGCUGAUGAUCACAGAGACACCGUCUAUGAUCUCAGAGACAUCGUCCACGGUCACAAAGACAUUGUCCAUGAUCACAGAGACUUUGUCAAUAAUCUCAGAGACAUUGUCCGCGAUCACAGAGACGUGGUCCAUGAUCACAGAGAGUCUUCGUAAGAUGAAGAAGUUCUUUGAGACCAUACCAAUUUCAGUCACAAGAAGACGCCGUCGACAGCAGCUGAAGACCUGAAGUGGAUGAAAGAAAACAAAAGUGUUACAAGGUUGUUAAUUGGAUAGAAGACCUCCACCAUCUAACUGCUGUAAACCGUGUUAGUUUGCUGUUGUUUAAGUGAAAACACAGUUUUCCAAAGACUACCAUGUCUUUAUCAAGCACCUGUGAGAAUAUUCAACUGCUUAUGAUACAACUAUUUAAUUAAUAAUUGUAUCACAAGCAGGUAAAUGAGCCAAUGUUUAGUAGACAUGUUCAUCUUUGGAAAAUGUUCUCAUAACUAGUUUAACCCUAACCAGCUCUAACAAGUGUUUCCUUGUGGUCAAAUGUCUGUCAUUAUCUCUGCUAUGAUGAUGUGUUAU
Molecule: long non-coding RNA, 4036 nt
Organism: Lates calcarifer (barramundi perch)
Lineage: Eukaryota; Metazoa; Chordata; Actinopteri; Centropomidae
Exons: 10
Source: RefSeq, a predicted model, not a curated record